UGUGUUCAGUUCCUACCGCUUCCACUGGAUGUCCCCAGUCUUUGGAAUUUGGUUGAGGUUAUUCCCUUGUGCAAUGAAGAAGUACGGCCAUCUAGGACAUGGGUAACACUGUUGAGAUUUGCGCAAGACUUGAAAAGUAGCGUUAGUUUCCUCUCAUCCUCUAUUGAAAACAGAUAGACGCGUCUUCAAUUUGAUUGAUUAUUAACGUUUAAAAUUACCUAAAGUUGUAUUACUAAAGUAGUUUAAAGUGUUUUGGCAAAGUUUACAGGGAACUUUUGAGAUAUUUUGUAGUGACGUUGCACAAUUUGGAAGCUGUUUUUUUCUGGAUCAAACUUGCCAAAUUAUUGGACAUUUUGGAUAUAUAUGGACGGAAUUAUUCGAACAAAAUGACCAAUUGUGAUGUUUAUGGAACAUAUUGGAGUGCCAACAAAAGAAGCUCGUCAAAGCGCUGCAUUUUCCCUGGCUUUUAGCCAAGUGGGACGCAAGCAUCCCCUAUACCAUAAAAGUUAAGAAAACUUCUGGGAAGUACCGUAUGGUGCAAGACUUCAGACAACUCAGCCAGGGAUUUUGUGACAGCCCCUCCAUCUUCAACCGUAUAUUGAAGGAAGACCUAAAGCAUCUGGCUUUUCCCAGAGGCAGCACUCUGGUACAAUAUGUGGAUGAUCUUCUGAUAUGCUACCCCUCGAUGGAAACCUGUCAGACUGAUACCCUGUAUCUUCUUACUCAGCUUGCUCUGAUGGGCCACAAGGUCUCAAAAGACAAACUACAACUAUGGAAAUAAACAGUCCUGUUCAUUGGACUUCAGAUCUCUCAACACCAGAAGGGUUGAUCAAAGGAAAGGAUUCAAACAAUACUCACCACCCCAGGACCUAAAAACAUCAAAGGAUUGCUGUCAUUCUUGGGAUGCUGUGGUUAUUGUAGAAACUAGAUCUGUGACUACUCAUUGAUUGUACCACUGAGGGAGAUGUGGAGUGGACGGCCAUCUGCAUUCCUGACCUGGGACAGAUUAAAUAAAGGCAUUUGAAGAUUUGAAGAAAGCACUGGCUAGUGCUCCAGCCUUGGGUUGCCUGACUAUAACACAAAUAAAUUCAUCUUUGUAGCUGAAAAAAGGGGGUUUGCCUCAGUUGUUGUUACACAAAAAUCAAGUGGAGAGCAUAAACUCUGUGCUUACUACUCUACCAGAUUGGAUAAUGUAGUGAGGGGUAUGCAUCCAUGUGAUAGAAGCCUUGCUGCGACAGCAUAUGCGAUUGAAAAGAGUACUACUCUUUUGUUAAUGCAUAAAACCACCCUCUAUGUGUCUCACAGUGUGAUGGCAGUCCUGAACCAAAAUAACUCCUGCAAGGCUUUGUGGCUAUGAGACCCUACUGACACAACCCAAUAGUGUUAAUCCUGCUGCCUUCCUGGCAGAACAGACAGAACAGGGGAUACGCCACACGAAUGUGAAAAAAAUAUUGACUCUAAGGCUAGGCCUGACCUCUCUGACACUGCCCUGACUGAUUCUGACUUGGAGAUUUUCGUUGAUGGUUCUGCAUAUAUAGAUCAAACUACAGGGAAGAAACAUUCAGGGUUUAGUUUUGUAACAAUUGAUAGAACCACUCAGAUACAACAACCAUUACCAGAUACUUUCUCAGCUCAACAGGCUGAACCUUUGGCAAUAACUACUGCCUGUAAAAUGGGAGAAAGGAAAGGGUUACUAUUACUAUGAGGUUUAAUAUUGUUUCACAGUACUUUUCUAGGCUCUCUGCCUCUUAUGAAGAAACUGUCUGAGAAAUGUGUGACUGUGAAGACAGAACUCUGCAGAGGAGUGUAAGAGAAGAGAUUAGUCAGACAUUCCACUAUAAAUCAACUUGGACAUUUACUGCUAAGCUUUUAGACAGCUAUAUAAACAAGAGUUUUAGUGUUGAGUAGGCAUGGUUUUUGACGUAGGCAGUGACAUCACUAGGGCUGGACUUCGGGUUUAAUAAAAUAAUUUGGGACCUUUUCUUUGAUGCAGAACUUACUCGGAAACAUGCGUUAUAUUCCUGUUGUCAACUUCUGUCUGCAAUUGCAUUAAUAAAGGUUUUUUAAUGAUUUAAUUAAAGAUAUUGUCAUAAUGCUAAUUUCACCAAUGAUUGACAAGGAACAAGGUAACAAACCCCAACAUAUGAUUACUGUAUAUCUGUGAUAACCUUUGUAUGCUUGCAAUGCGCAAUGAUGGAAAAGUACUGGAUAAUGGAGAUAUAAUGCUUUAGUUCUUGGGCUGAGAACUGUCUGCACCUGCUGAUAGUCACACAGCCUCAAGGCUGAGAUAGUAGAGUGAGAAACCACAGUCUAGACAUGUUUUUCUCAUCUUAGACACUUUGUAUCUAAUCCAAUGCAUCAA
This is a long non-coding RNA of Oncorhynchus keta (chum salmon), 2362 nucleotides long. RefSeq lists it as uncharacterized. NCBI's taxonomy places the organism in Eukaryota, Metazoa, Chordata, Actinopteri, Salmoniformes, Salmonidae. The transcript has 3 exons. The record is from RefSeq and is a predicted model, not a curated record.